Molecule: transfer RNA, 67 nt
Filed under: Marmota monax (woodchuck)
Lineage: Eukaryota; Metazoa; Chordata; Mammalia; Rodentia; Sciuridae
Description: tRNA.Ala
Rfam family: tRNA
About the family: Transfer RNA (tRNA) molecules are approximately 80 nucleotides in length.
Source: RNAcentral
GGUUGUGGCUCAGCGGUAGAGCGCUUGCCUGGCAUGCAUGAGGGACUGGGUUUGAAUCUCGGCACCA